AUUGAACGCUGGCGGCAUGCCUUACACAUGCAAGUCGAACGGUAACAGGUUAAGCUGACGAGUGGCGAACGGGUGAGUAAUGUAUCGGUACGUGCCCAGUCGCGGGGGAUAACUGCUCGAAAGAGCAGCUAAUACCGCAUACGACCUGAGGGUGAAAGCGGGGGAUCGCAAGACCUCGCGCGAUUGGAGCGGCCGAUAUCAGAUUAGGUAGUUGGUGAGGUAAAGGCUCACCAAGCCGACGAUCUGUAACCGGUCUGAGAGGACGACCAGCCACACUGGGACUGAGACACGGCCCAGACUCCUACGGGAGGCAGCAGUGGGGAAUUUUGGACAAUGGGCGAAAGCCUGAUCCAGCCAUGCCGCGUGCGGGAAGAAGGCCUUCGGGUUGUAAACCGCUUUUGUAAGGGAAGAAAAGGGUCUGGCUAAUACCUGGGACUCAUGACGGUACCUGAAGAAUAAGCACCGGCUAACUACGUG
RNAcentral lists this ribosomal RNA (477 nucleotides) under uncultured bacterium. RNAcentral describes it as "partial 16S ribosomal RNA". It matches the Rfam family "Bacterial small subunit ribosomal RNA", at positions 30 to 507 of the family's 1533-position model. The record is from RNAcentral.